GAAGGUGCCCCUGCCCAUGGCAGGGGGGGUAAUGAAUGACCUUUAGAAAGUCCCUUCCAACCCAAACCAUCCUGUCAUCCUGUGAUCCCACGGGAAG
Chiroxiphia lanceolata (lance-tailed manakin) is the source of this 97-nucleotide long non-coding RNA. RefSeq lists it as uncharacterized. Lineage: Eukaryota; Metazoa; Chordata; Aves; Passeriformes; Pipridae. The record is from RefSeq and is a predicted model, not a curated record. The transcript is spliced from 3 exons.